UACAGAGGGGGCAAGCGUUGUUCGGAAUUACUGGGCGUAAAGGGCGCGUAGGCGGCCUUCUAAGUCGAACGUGAAAUCCCCGGGCUCAACCCGGGAACUGCUUCCGAUACUGGAAGGCUUGAAUCCGGGAGAGGGAUGCGGAAUUCCAGGUGUAGCGGUGAAAUGCGUAGAUAUCUGGAGGAACACCGGUGGCGAAGGCGGCAUCCUGGACCGGUAUUGACGCUGAGGCGCGAAAGCCAGGGGAGCAAACGGG
This 253-nucleotide ribosomal RNA is filed under the name uncultured bacterium. RNAcentral describes it as "partial 16S ribosomal RNA". It matches the Rfam family "Bacterial small subunit ribosomal RNA", at positions 524 to 776 of the family's 1533-position model. The record is from RNAcentral.